AGAGAGAACCAAAAUUAGUUGAUG
RNAcentral lists this small RNA (24 nucleotides) under Brassica napus (rape). RNAcentral's name for it is "PsRNA_63". The record is from RNAcentral. Lineage: Eukaryota; Viridiplantae; Streptophyta; Magnoliopsida; Brassicales; Brassicaceae.